This 105-nucleotide microRNA precursor is filed under the name Canis lupus familiaris (dog). RNAcentral describes it as "mir-8834 microRNA precursor family". It matches the Rfam family "mir-8834 microRNA precursor family". The record is from Rfam by way of RNAcentral. Lineage: Eukaryota; Metazoa; Chordata; Mammalia; Carnivora; Canidae.
AGGAGGAACAACCGCAGUGGCGGGCCCAGCUCUGGAGCCCUGGAGUCAGCUCCCGCAGGAACUCCGGAGCUCUCCGUCUGCAGGGCCUGGGGGCUCCGGGGCGGG